GAUGAAUGCUGGCGGCGUGCCUAAUACAUGCAAGUCGAGCGGUAAGGCCCUUCGGGGUACACGAGCGGCGGACGGCUGAGUAACGCGUGGGAACGUGCCCCAAAGUGAGGAAUAACCUCGAGAAAUCGAGGCUAAUACCGCAUAUGGUCUUCGGAUUAAAGGAUUUAUCCGCUUUGGGAGCGGCCCGCGUACGAUUAGUUUGUUGGUGAGGUAAUGGCUCACCAAGACUACGAUCGUUAACUGGUCUGAGAGGAUGAUCAGUCACACUGGAACUGAGACACGGUCCAGACUCCUACGGGAGGCAGCAGUGGGGAAUAUUGGACAAUGGGCGAAAGCCUGAUCCAGCCAUGCCGCGUGUGUGAAGAAGGUCUUCGGAUUGUAAAGCACUUUAAGUUGGGAGGAAGGGCAGCAAGCUAAUACCUUGCUGUUUUGACGUUACCGACAGAAUAAGCACCGGCUAACUCUGUG
This 468-nucleotide ribosomal RNA is filed under the name uncultured bacterium. RNAcentral's name for it is "bacterial SSU rRNA". It matches the Rfam family "Bacterial small subunit ribosomal RNA", at positions 28 to 507 of the family's 1533-position model. The record is from RNAcentral.